GAAUUACCACCUCAAAGGUAAAACUUGGCAACAAAACAUUUGUGUAGUUAUAAACUAUUGGUAUUUUAUUUGUUUGAUAAUGUGUCCUUUUGUUUACAAUUCCGUCUGCUUCUUUUUCAAUGAUCAGUCUUUUGCUCUCUUCAUCGCAUUUGCAGUAGCGUUCCCAGCUUUCUCGUUUGUGCUUCCGAAAGUCUUUGUUUGCAAUUUUGGCACAAAGCUCUCGCAUGGGCGGGUCUAACAGGGCUGCGUCCCCAUUGGCUAAUGAGUUUUUGUGUGCCCGCCUCCCCGCUCUGGCGUUUCAGUGCAUCUAACGUUAUAGACUUUGGAGGACACACAAACCACUCUAUACAGCGGAUUCCUACAAGGUUAAUAAAGUGUACUUCAAGCUUUACAAUACGAAGUCAAGGAAGUGAAGGACUACAGCCACAUUCCAGGCCCUCAGAGAACUGUCCUGCAGAAAAGGCUGUCGUCCGGACUGGAGCGGGGAGCCAUCAGUGAGCUCAGGAGACGAGAGGAUUCCAGGUGUCUACGAGUUGUGUGUGAUAUUCCCGCACAACCCUCAGAAGUGUUGUUUCAGACACAAGUCAUCAGAGAAAUGCAGCUUGUCCUAGGUGAAUCUGAAUAUGUGAGAUUUAUACAUAACCCAGUUACUCAGUAUGUUUGUGUAUUGUUAGUACUGAUGA
Molecule: long non-coding RNA, 683 nt
Organism: Etheostoma cragini (Arkansas darter)
Lineage: Eukaryota; Metazoa; Chordata; Actinopteri; Perciformes; Percidae
Exons: 2
Source: RefSeq, a predicted model, not a curated record